UGGUGAUUUAUUGCUGGGGCCAUUUUGACAACAGAAAUAACCAGUUUCCCCACCUUCUCGGCCCCCUCCCCCCACACCUUGCUGUUGUUGCGUGGGGGGGGGGCGGGGAGGGUUGUGCUGUGGGGGUUAUCUCCCUGCCUAAGGAGGCUGGAGCAUCUGUUUAACGCACACAGUGAGGUAUCUGGCUUAUUAACUUGUCAUCAUGUGUCAUAAAGUUUAGUGAAAUGCUGGCAGAUUGUAAUCCUAAACACGGCAAUUACCCUAUUAUUAAAACGGCUUUCUUUCUUUCUCUUUUCUCUCUCUUUAUUUUUCUUUCUCUCCCCCCCCCACCUCCGCCCCAUUCUUUUUCCUGGUCGGGUCUGUUCUUACCUCUGUCUCACUUGCUUGAUUAGUCACGGGCAGGAGCCUCCUGCGUGGCAAUCGUGCCCGAGUAAAGCAGGCCUUGGCUAGGCCGAGCUCACGGGAGAGCAGACAGGGGGCGAGUGGAGCACCUUGCUUCUUGCUGCAGCGAGCUAGCCCGGCUCAUGGGCCUGAUGAACUGAUCCAGGCCAGGCAAUGCAAAGCAGGAGCUGCGGUGGGGGGGGGGGGUGGGGGAGGGGGGGGUGGUUUCUGGCUCCCCAGGCCUGGGUGGAGUGAGCAGAGAAGACAAACUUGCCGGCCGGCCUACCAGAGCUUCCACUGCCUUUAGAGCUUGCCUGGGUCUCUCUCCAGAGUUGACCUCCCUUGGCCUUUUAUGAGCUCACUUUUGGAUCUGGAACUAGAGGUGAAGAACAGAAAAGGCAGGAAGCAGUGGGAUGGUGGAUGGUGGGAGGGGGAGCAGAGCAGAAGGGGAGGAAUAGGUCAUCUGAGUCCUGGCUGACCCCUUACUGGCUGGAGACCGGGUUUCUACAUUCAUAGAAUGGAGUGAUGAUUCUCGCCCUGUCCACUUCAUGCGGUUCUAGGGAGGAUCAUAUCAGAUAACGGGCCCGAGAGAAGAUGGUUGAUAGUAAAUCAUUCCGCAUGUUUGAGGAGAUUGUCAUUUCAUAUGGGCCGUGGCAGGGUCUGAAUUCACGGCUGAAGGAGCCUCAACUCCUGUUACUGCAAAGGGUUGUCCACGCUGGGUGGUCAUUGGAGAGUUUGCCGCUGCUGACCAGCUGGCCGUCAGUCCUGGAGCACCGAGAGGAGUGGAGGAUGCACAAGGACUGCAGUGGAGACGCUGCUGUCCCCCUCCCCUGAGCCCACUGGGACCUCUGGCUUUGCUGGCUGCGUGUGGUCCUGCCACACACUGACUGGCUCCCACUCCCAUGGGGCUAUGCCAAGGUGAGGCCUACCUUUGCCCCCCCCGAAUUCAGAGGGAGGGGAAGGCCUGUGGUCCCCCACCUUUACAGGCAAGUUCAGAUGGCCUGAGCUAAUAGAUGUCGCUAACCAAUUAUGUGAUCUUGGCAGCUCACUUCACCUCAUUGUGACUCACGUGAAGGAUGCGGGUAUCACACAUAACCUUGUCGGGUGGUUGGGAACCUGCCCACUGGUCAGGUGCUUGGGUAGUAAGGGCUACUAUAAUAGGAUAAUGGAUGGCAGGUGUUUUGUAAACCUUAGGGUGAUAGGAGCAAGUCAGUUCCCAUGAUGAGGACUCCUACUCCGUUAUCGGGCUCACUUUCCAAGUUCUUUUAGAAGCUCUUUUAGAGUAGCCCCCUUCUCUGAGGAAGCUCCAGGGGCAAAUGCUCCUGACCCCUGCCUGGAAGGACCAGAUCCCCGGGUCAUAGGGUCAGGUGGGCCUCUUUUGUCCAAGGAUCAAGGGGGUGAAGAAGAGUCCCCUGCUUCGGUGUGGUCUGCCAAAAGCCACGCCACACUCCCCUCCACUUGAGGAGGUUGCUAGGUCCUUGCUCUGCGUGCAAGCUCUGUGCCUGGCCCAAGGGUCAGCCCCAUGUAGCAGGGCCACACAGAUGUCAAACCUGAAAUGCAGCUCUCUGGCUUUGCUGGUUCCAGUUCUGAUAGGCAUCUCCAGAGGCUGGUGAUAAGGAUGAUGGGCAGGUUGAGCGCUUUUCCUCCUUGUACUGGUAACUGCUGUGCGAUAGCAGCUCUGUAAUUGCUCAAUAAAACUCCCCCCACCGCCCAGGAUAGAUUUAUGGCCAAAAUGCAUUAUCUGAACUGAGCAUAUUUCAUCUGAGUGUACCUGGGUGUGUGUGGGAUGGGGAGGGAGAACAGACUGUCUGGAGACAGUUUCCGGGGGUGCUCAGGAAAUUCCUGCCCCCUCCUUUCCCCGAAGUGUUGUCUGGAAGCUCUUUCUAGAUCUGUCAGGACUUACAUGUCAUGGAUCUUCUCCUGAACCUAAAACUAUGUAGACACCCCAGGGAUGGGAGUGAUGAGGAAGACUGUGGCCUGGACAAGUUUAAUUUAGUUCAGUUCAGCAAAUUAAAUAGUGCCCAUUCUUGCCGAGGGCUAGGAAAGCUAUUAUUGUUAUUUAGCAGGGGGGGAAGGAGGGAAAGGCCUUGAGAAGGUGAAGAGAGAUGACAAGGAGCUUUUUUUCUUUUUUUUAAAGAUUUUAUUUAUUUAUUCAUGAGAGAUGAGAGAGAGUCAGAGACACAGGCAGAGGGAGAAGCAGAUUCCCUGUGGGGAGCCUGAUGUGGGACUCGAUCCCAGGACCCCGGGAUCAUGACCUGAGCCAAUGGCAGAUGCUCAACCACUGAGCCACCCAGGUGACAAGGACCUUUUCUCUAGCUGCUAGAGGUGCCUGAUACACCAACAUUGGCUGGUGGGAGUGGGGUGGGGGCAGGAGGGGUGGGGACAGCCACG
RNAcentral lists this long non-coding RNA (2772 nucleotides) under Canis lupus familiaris (dog). RNAcentral describes it as "lncRNA (ENSCAFG00845013845.1)". The record is from RNAcentral. Lineage: Eukaryota; Metazoa; Chordata; Mammalia; Carnivora; Canidae.